RNAcentral lists this transfer RNA (73 nucleotides) under Pleurosigma inscriptura. RNAcentral's name for it is "tRNA-Asn". It matches the Rfam family "tRNA". From Rfam's summary of the family: Transfer RNA (tRNA) molecules are approximately 80 nucleotides in length. Their secondary structure includes four short double-helical elements and three loops (D, anti-codon, and T loops). The record is from RNAcentral. Lineage: Eukaryota; Bacillariophyta; Bacillariophyceae; Naviculales; Pleurosigmataceae.
UCUUUAGUAGCUCAGUUGGUAGAGCAAAUGGCUGUUAACCAUUUGGACGUUGGUUCGAGUCCAACCUAGAGAG